RNAcentral lists this ribosomal RNA (254 nucleotides) under uncultured bacterium. RNAcentral's name for it is "partial 16S ribosomal RNA". It matches the Rfam family "Bacterial small subunit ribosomal RNA", at positions 524 to 776 of the family's 1533-position model. The record is from RNAcentral.
UACGAAGGGGGCUAGCGUUGCUCGGAAUCACUGGGCGUAAAGGGUGCGUAGGCGGGUCUUUAAGUCAGGGGUGAAAUCCUGGAGCUCAACUCCAGAACUGCCUUUGAUACUGAAGAUCUUGAGUCCGGGAGAGGUGAGUGGAACUGCGAGUGUAGAGGUGAAAUUCGUAGAUAUUCGCAAGAACACCAGUGGCGAAGGCGGCUCACUGGCCCGGUACUGACGCUGAGGUGGCGAAAGCGUGGGGAGCAAACAGG